ACAAUGUAAAAGAAUUUUUAUGACAGGAACCGGCUCAGAAAUCCCAUAAUCAAAACCAUCUACUAGAGGAAACUCAGAAAUCCCAUAAUCAAAACCAUCUACUAGACGAAACAACAGCACACUCACAUCUUAAAAUAAAAAUUCCAUUUCCCACAAAUUUGCCGUAAUUAAACUGAAGAAAGAAAAUUAGGAAGAGAGAGGAAAAACGAAUCAAUAGGGAGAGAAAGAACUAAAAUCGAGUCUACCGGCAUCUCCGUCAUCUUCCUCUUCGUCGUUAUCAUCACUUGCAACAGCUGCGAUGUCGUCAAAAAACUCAGAACCACGUCGACCAUUGCGUUUUCUCAAACUGUAAUCAUCUCCAAGCACAUCAUCAAUCAAUUCUGAUCUCUUCUGUUUCUUCUUUAUCCUUCCACCAUCAUAGUCCUCUUCAUCUAUUUCAUAAAAUCUGGUCAUGGCUAUAAAUCCGAAGUUCACUGUAGACGAAUUAGGUUUAGGAACAUAGAAAUGCAAAGGGGAGAGCACAAAUAACUUAUGAAUGCAUUAAUGAUGUACUUCUAAAUGCAUUAAUAUCUCAUCUUGAUGAUAUGAGUUCGGAAUAUCGCCUCUCUAAUAUCUCAUCUUGAUGAUAUGAGUUCGGAAUAUCGCCUCUCUAAUGGAUACGAUUCUCUAAUAGAAAAAAAACCAAUGAAGAAAUUAUCAAGAAAAUCUUAGCACCAAAACGUAAGGAUCUACCUGCUACAUAAUGAAGAUGGUACAUGAAAGACAUGAAUGGGAACACCCAAUAUUCAAAUUUCGUCUACUUACCUCAAAGAGAGCCUUUGAGGAAUGCAGAUUCUCCUGUGCCCUCUCUAUGUA
RNAcentral lists this long non-coding RNA (855 nucleotides) under Amborella trichopoda. Its description in RNAcentral is "long non-coding RNA (ATRI_LNC003683)". Lineage: Eukaryota; Viridiplantae; Streptophyta; Magnoliopsida; Amborellales; Amborellaceae. The record is from RNAcentral.